UCCCUGGUGAUCAAGUGGUUAGGAUAAAGCGCUUUUACUGCUACAGCCCAGGUUCAGUCCCUGGUCUGGGAA
Molecule: transfer RNA, 72 nt
Filed under: Sus scrofa (pig)
Lineage: Eukaryota; Metazoa; Chordata; Mammalia; Artiodactyla; Suidae
Rfam family: tRNA
About the family: Transfer RNA (tRNA) molecules are approximately 80 nucleotides in length.
Source: Rfam by way of RNAcentral